Molecule: ribosomal RNA, 712 nt
Filed under: Bacillus sp. (in: firmicutes)
Lineage: Bacteria; Bacillati; Bacillota; Bacilli; Caryophanales; Bacillaceae
Description: bacterial SSU rRNA
Rfam family: Bacterial small subunit ribosomal RNA
Source: RNAcentral
AUACAUGCAAGUCGAGCGAACAGAAGGGAGCUUGCUCCCGGAUGUUAGCGGCGGACGGGUGAGUAACACGUGGGUAACCUGCCUGUAAGACUGGGAUAACUCCGGGAAACCGGAGCUAAUACCGGAUAGUUCCUUGAACCGCAUGGUUCAAGGAUGAAAGACGGUUUCGGCUGUCACUUACAGAUGGACCCGCGGCGCAUUAGCUAGUUGGUGGGGUAAUGGCUCACCAAGGCGACGAUGCGUAGCCGACCUGAGAGGGUGAUCGGCCACACUGGGACUGAGACACGGCCCAGACUCCUACGGGAGGCAGCAGUAGGGAAUCUUCCGCAAUGGACGAAAGUCUGACGGAGCAACGCCGCGUGAGUGAUGAAGGUUUUCGGAUCGUAAAGCUCUGUUGUUAGGGAAGAACAAGUGCGAGAGUAACUGCUCGCACCUUGACGGUACCUAACCAGAAAGCCACGGCUAACUACGUGCCAGCAGCCGCGGUAAUACGUAGGUGGCAAGCGUUGUCCGGAAUUAUUGGGCGUAAAGGGCUCGCAGGCGGUUUCUUAAGUCUGAUGUGAAAGCCCCCGGCUCAACCGGGGAGGGUCAUUGGAAACUGGGAAACUUGAGUGCAGAAGAGGAGAGUGGAAUUCCACGUGUAGCGGUGAAAUGCGUAGAGAUGUGGAGGAACACCAGUGGCGAAGGCGACUCUCUGGUCUGUAACUGACGC